GCGCCUGUAGCUCAGCUGGAUAGAGCAGCGGCCUUCUAAGCCGCGGGUCAGAGGUUCAAGUCCUCUCAGGCGCG
RNAcentral lists this transfer RNA (74 nucleotides) under Deltaproteobacteria bacterium. Its description in RNAcentral is "tRNA-Arg". It matches the Rfam family "tRNA". From Rfam's summary of the family: Transfer RNA (tRNA) molecules are approximately 80 nucleotides in length. Their secondary structure includes four short double-helical elements and three loops (D, anti-codon, and T loops). Lineage: Bacteria; Pseudomonadati; Myxococcota; Myxococcia. The record is from RNAcentral.